Molecule: unclassified non-coding RNA, 345 nt
Filed under: soil metagenome
Description: partial contains 5.8S ribosomal RNA, internal transcribed spacer 2, and large subunit ribosomal RNA
Rfam family: 5.8S ribosomal RNA (bases 1-120)
Source: RNAcentral
GAUGAAGAACGUAGCGAAAUGCGAUACGUAAUGUGAAUUGCAGAAUUCAGUGAAUCAUCGAGUCUUUGAACGCACAUUGCGCCCCCUGGUAUUCCGGGGGGCAUGCCUGUCCGAGCGUCAUUGCUGCCCUCAAGCACGGCUUGUGUGUUGGGCCUCCGUCCUCCUCCCGGGGGACGGGCCCGAAAGGCAGCGGCGGCACCGCGUCCGGUCCUCGAGCGUAUGGGGCUUCGUCACCCGCUCUUGUAGGCCCGGCCGGCGCUUGCCGACACAUCAAUCUUUUUUCCAGGUUGACCUCGGAUCAGGUAGGGAUUCCCGCUGAACUUAAGCAUAUCAAUAAGCGGAGGA